UGGGGUAUCUCAUGUUUGGUCAAAGCAUAUUAUCUCAGAUAACUUUAAAUAUGCCGGACAAUUCAAUUGCUUCAAGAGUUGCAGUAUGGACCACUGUUAUCAACCCAUUCACGAAAUAUGCGUUGUUGAUGAAUCCCUUGGGAAGAAGCAUAGAGGAA
Molecule: long non-coding RNA, 158 nt
Organism: Solanum dulcamara
Lineage: Eukaryota; Viridiplantae; Streptophyta; Magnoliopsida; Solanales; Solanaceae
Exons: 3
Source: RefSeq, a predicted model, not a curated record